GUUAUGUCACCUGUCAAGCCUCAGUGUUCCCCCAUCUGUGAAAUGAAGAAAAUAACUCUGCUAAUUACCUCACAGGCUACUAAUAUAAUGAAAUGCUGAAACAUCCACCAAUGCUCUGUGAAAUGCAAACCGUGGCUGAAACAAGUGAUCCGGAAUUAUUACAUGCGUCUGCUUCUGGCAUGACAGAAUAGGUGCUAUCUGAUCAAAUUCCCUGCCCAAAACAACAGGAAACACUGCAUAAAACAUGGAGAUCACAGCAAUGGAACCGCACUGAGGUGAACCUGACCUUGAGUGCUACUUUACCCUUCAGGCAUUUGAGAGAAUGAAAAGCCAACAGAAAGUGGCUGCUGUGGAUGAGAGGAGUACAUCAGACUUUCAUCCACUCACAGGGCUGAGAGAAACCGUGAAGCUCGAGGCUACCUACCCAGCCAAGAGCUGAGAGCCUUAAGGAACAAGAGAAAUGCAUGAAACGGAGCCCAAACUCGGCACCACUUCUCUCCCAAGGUGACGGCUGCUUUACAAACAGUAGCCCAGAGGCUGACGAUCCCUGGAAAAAGGCCACGCAGAGCUGUGGGCACUGUCACUCUGCUGUGGGGAAGUGGAGCUCGGGGCACCAAGGAGCACUCAUGAACAGGGAUGACCAGAAACAGACAGGGCCUUACCAAACCUGCACAUGACUUCACGCCAGCUCAGGAAGGGCUCUGAC
Molecule: long non-coding RNA, 706 nt
Filed under: Marmota monax (woodchuck)
Lineage: Eukaryota; Metazoa; Chordata; Mammalia; Rodentia; Sciuridae
Source: RNAcentral